CUCAUCCGUCUCACGCCCACGCAGGUCAAGAUCUGGUUCCAAAACCAUCGCUACAAGAUGAAACGUGCCCGGGCUGAGAAAGGUAUGGAGGUGACGCCUCUACCCUCGCCGCGCCGUGUGGCAGUGCCGGUCUUGGUCAGGGACGGCAAACCGUGCCACGCGCUCAAAGCCCAGGACCUGGCAGCUGCCACCUUCCAGGCAGGCAUCCCCUUUUCCGCCUACAGCGCGCAGUCGCUGCAGCACAUGCAAUACAACGCCCAGUACAGCUCGGCCAGCACCCCCCAGUACCCGACAGCACACCCCCUGGUCCAGGCCCAGCAGUGGACUUGGUGAGCGCCGCCCCUCCAAGACUGGAGGCCUUAGGCCCUGGCCCCACCCCAGCGGCGGCGGUGGCGAGGAGGACUCGAUCCUUACCACGGUUGUUAUUAUUAUUAUUAUAAUUAUUAUAGAGUCGGACUCUCGGCUCGGUUGAGGAGGCACCGGGAGGUUGCCUGUGCCUCCUCGAGUGGCAGAUUCCAUCGACUCUGCCCCACCGCUCUCUCCUUUGAACUUUUGGAGAGGGUAGAACUCUAAGCCGUGUUUACAGAAUGUUUGUGCAGCUUCGCUUCUUUGCCUCUCCCUGAGGGGACCAAACCAUCCCAACGUUAACGUUGUCACUUGAAAAGAGAAAGGACCAGCCAGCCCCCACCCUCACCCACCCCGCACUGCUUUCGUGAAUUUUGUAAACUAUGUUUGUGUGAGUAGCGAUAUUGUCAGCCUUCUAAAGCAAGUGGAGAACACUUUAAAAUAUAGAGGAUUUCUUUUUUUAUAAGAAAAUGCUAAAUAUUUAUGGCCAUGUACACGUUCUGACAACUGGUGGCAAAUCUCGCUCUUCGUUGUAAAUAUCGCUAGUGAUCAUCGUUGCCAAAUGACGUUCUGGAUGGGCCUGUGUCGCCGUCCGGCCUG
This 945-nucleotide long non-coding RNA is filed under the name Rattus norvegicus (Norway rat). RNAcentral describes it as "long non-coding RNA NONRATT019753". The record is from RNAcentral. Lineage: Eukaryota; Metazoa; Chordata; Mammalia; Rodentia; Muridae.